Molecule: ribosomal RNA, 526 nt
Filed under: uncultured bacterium
Lineage: Bacteria
Description: bacterial SSU rRNA
Rfam family: Bacterial small subunit ribosomal RNA
Source: RNAcentral
AAUAGAUACCCUGGUAGUCCACGCCCUAAACGAUGUCAACUAGUUGUUCGGUGAGGAGACUCAUUGAGUAACGCAGCUAACGCGUGAAGUUGACCGCCUGGGGAGUACGGCCGCAAGGUUAAAACUCAAAGGAAUUGACGGGGACCCGCACAAGCGGUGGAUGAUGUGGAUUAAUUCGAUGCAACGCGAAAAACCUUACCUACCCUUGACAUGCCAGGAACUUGCCAGAGAUGGCUUGGUGCCCGAAAGGGAGCCUGGACACAGGUGCUGCAUGGCUGUCGUCAGCUCGUGUCGUGAGAUGUUGGGUUAAGUCCCGCAACGAGCGCAACCCUUGUCAUUAGUUGCCAUCAUUCAGUUGGGCACUCUAAUGAGACUGCCGGUGACAAACCGGAGGAAGGUGGGGAUGACGUCAAGUCCUCAUGGCCCUUAUGGGUAGGGCUUCACACGUCAUACAAUGGUCGGUACAGAGGGUUGCCAAGCCGCGAGGUGGAGCCAAUCCCAGAAAGCCGAUCGUAGUCCGGAUUGG